AACGAACGCUGGCGGCAUGCCUAACACAUGCAAGUCGAACGAGAUCUUCGGGUCUAGUGGCGCACGGGUGCGUAACGCGUGGGAAUCUGCCCUUUGGUUCGGAAUAACAGUUGGAAACGCCUGCUAAUACCGGAUGAUGACGAAAGUCCAAAGAUUUAUCGCCAGAGGAUGAGCCCGCGUAGGAUUAGCUAGUUGGUGUGGUAAUGGCGCACCAAGGCGACGAUCCUUAGCUGGUCUGAGAGGAUGAUCAGCCACACUGGGACUGAGACACGGCCCAGACUCCUACGGGAGGCAGCAGUGGGGAAUAUUGGACAAUGGGCGAAAGCCUGAUCCAGCAAUGCCGCGUGAGUGAUGAAGGCCUUAGGGUUGUAAAGCUCUUUUACCCGGGAUGAUAAUGACAGUACCGGGAGAAUAAGCUCCAGCUAACUCCGUGCCAGCCGCCGCAGUAA
RNAcentral lists this ribosomal RNA (449 nucleotides) under uncultured bacterium. RNAcentral describes it as "partial 16S ribosomal RNA". It matches the Rfam family "Bacterial small subunit ribosomal RNA", at positions 29 to 523 of the family's 1533-position model. The record is from RNAcentral.